Molecule: ribosomal RNA, 274 nt
Filed under: uncultured bacterium
Lineage: Bacteria
Description: partial 16S ribosomal RNA
Rfam family: Bacterial small subunit ribosomal RNA
Source: RNAcentral
CUACGAAAGGUGCAAGCGUUGUUCGGAUUUACUGGGCGUAAAGAGAGUGUAGGUGGUUUAUUAAGUCGGAUGUGAAAUCCCGGGGCUCAACCUCGGAACUGCAUUCGAUACUGAUAGGCUAGAGUUUGGGAGGGGUAAGCGGAAUUCCGUGUGUAGCAGUGAAAUGCGUAGAUAUAAGGAGGAACACCUGAGGCGAAGGCGGCUUACUGGACCAAUACUGACACUGAGACUCGAAAGAGUGGGUAGCAAACAGGAUUAGAAACCCGAGUAGUCC